Molecule: RNase P RNA, 470 nt
Filed under: Corynebacterium falsenii
Lineage: Bacteria; Bacillati; Actinomycetota; Actinomycetes; Mycobacteriales; Corynebacteriaceae
Also listed under: 1 other name
Description: RNase P RNA component class A
Rfam family: Bacterial RNase P class A
About the family: Ribonuclease P (RNase P) is a ubiquitous endoribonuclease, found in archaea, bacteria and eukarya as well as chloroplasts and mitochondria.
Source: RNAcentral
AAAGGUGGCCGGGUGAUCGCGGCACGUGGAACCAUCCCACACGUUGGGGGAGGCCAGGUGCGGAGGAAAGUCCGGACUCCACAGGGCACGGUGGUUGCUAACAGCAACCCGGGGCGACCCGCGGGCUAGUGCCACAGAAAACAAACCGCCGCGUGCCACCCACGCCUUCGGGCGCACGGUAGCAGCGCGGUAAGGGUGAAAAGGUGCGGUAAGAGCGCACCAGCACUGCAGGUGACUGCGGUGGCUUGGUAAACCCCACUGGGAGCAAGGUCAAGACGUUGCACACGGAUGUAAGCCGUCCAGCAGUGCGACGCAGUUCCAGAGCUGCCCGCUCGCUUUUUCAGGGACAGGUAGACCGCUUGAGACCUCCAGCAAUGGAGUGUCCAGAUGGAUGAUCACCUCGCGCCGCCCACCCCACGGGGACUUAAGGCGGUGUACGACAGAAUCCGGCUCACAGGCCACCUUUGCGC